GACGAAUACGUUAGCUAAUUAGAGCGGGGAUCCAGCAGACACAUCUCCUGUAGAGUAGGCUAUGAGGUACCAGAUGGCCCCGAAGAAGAGCCAUGUGACAGCGUAGGCCAUGACGAAGACAAACAGCGAGCAGCGCCAGUUGAGGUCCACAAGCGUGGUGAAGAUGUCAGUCAGGUAGCGAUACAACUAUGACUACAGCAGAGGAUAUGAGUUGAAUGAAGGCUCGUAGAGAGAUUGGAAGAUAAACAGAGGAAGGUGCCAGGGGACAAAACUACUCAGAGAGAUGGAUUGUGGCUCAGAGGAAAGCCAGGCUGUUGAAGAAGGGAUAACAAAUGAAAACAGACAGAUGUACAGCAAAGAGGAGAGAAAACUGGAGCAAACAAAGAGCAGAGCUACACUGGAGAGGCCUAAUGAAAAAAGAUGUGCAAGACUGUCAGAAUCGCUGAGGGGUGAAAGCGCUGCAGCACGGUCCAAAUUAGAGAAGAUUCACGACUAUUGCACGAGAGAUGGAAAAGAGUAGGAGGUGCAGAAGUUCAGUUGAUAUACGGUGUGUGUGUGUUUGUGUGUAUGUGUGUGUGGAGUGUAGAGUAUGAAAAUCCAGACUCUGGGGUCAGUUAAUAGCCCCCAAUCUCUGGAGGAGCUAAAUAGAUGCCAGAGAAGCCGAUAAUGACGUACUUGCAACCUUCAUUCAGCUUUAUCCAGACUUGAAUGAAGUGAAUAGAAAGCAGUUGUAAGACUUUACAAACAUUUAUCUCAUCAGUAUCUAGACCGGAAGGCCAUCAAGGACAGGAAGUCGCAUUCAGAGUCACUCACCCCACCCGAAUCGUCCCCUCUCCUUCUCCGUCCCCUGGGUCUUCUUCCUGUGCUGAUUGGCUUGGGCC
This is a long non-coding RNA of Thunnus maccoyii (southern bluefin tuna), 881 nucleotides long. RefSeq lists it as uncharacterized. The transcript is spliced from 4 exons. The record is from RefSeq and is a predicted model, not a curated record. NCBI's taxonomy places the organism in Eukaryota, Metazoa, Chordata, Actinopteri, Scombriformes, Scombridae.